GACUGAUUUUAAAUUAGUAAACAGGCUCUCAGUGCUCAUGGUAGGUCUCAGAUAAGGUGCAAAAACAAUGCUAAAAUAUGCGGUGAUAAUUGAGUGUCAAUUUAAGAACAUGUUCCCUAUUGAACAGGUGCCUGUAGUUUGCUGUGAACUUGAGGUUAUUGUUAAUACACCGUUAACAGGAUCCCAGGAGUUUCCAUGCAGUUAAUUUCACACUUGGACGUUGCAAUAUUUGCAACAAUUCACAGAGUUCAGAAAUGUCCAGGAGACUUUGGCAGGGACAGCCAAGCAAAAUGCUAAUAAGGAAAACAGAAGAGAAGUCUGAGCCAGCUCUCGACUGUUGCCAGACUCCAUCAGCACUACACAAUGUUGACACGAAAAAAAGAGUUCUUUCAUCUCCUGCAGCCAUAAACCAAUGGGGAUUUUAUUUAUUUAUUAACAGAGAAAUAACAGAAUGAAACAGAAGGGAGGGCUUGAAAGGAGCCCAUUGUGUUAGGCCAGUGACAUCUCUCUAAAAUGAAUGAGGAUCCGUGAAUGAGUCUUGUUUCAUAACACAGCUAUAUAACGCAAUGAUCUGCAGUCAGAUCUGUGUGUGUCAUCCUGCAGGGUAAUUUACAGUUCUGCAGACUGGGAGGAAAAUGCAAGCAAAUUAAAACUGAUCUGAUUUAUAGUCUCACGCUUUGGUGUAAAUACAAGAGUUAUAUCAAUGAUGUAUAAAGUGUAAAGCAAUAAUCAGCCAAUCGGGCUUCCAAGAUCUUAGGUCAGUCACAUAACAAGAAAGUGUUAGACAUGUGUUUUACUUCAGCUUGGGGCAGUAAAGUUGUGUUAUGUAAUGAAUGACUGACCUCCAAAGGGCAGAAAUCAGAGUAGGCUGGCUUAUAAAGUUCCCAUCGACAGGACCCAAAUCUCUAGGCACGUGGUUCAUGGCUAACAAACAGCAUCAUCAAACCUUAUUUUGGCUUUUAGUCCAAAGAUCAUCUUCAAUUUUGGUAUGAACAACCAUUUUUAGUGCAUCUCUUGAACAGGACCCUCUGCUAAUUAAUUGUCUUUUGUGAUGCUGUUGUAUCAGAAGUAAAUGUCAAGUCUUGACUCAUGUAACUUCCUUCUUCUAAAAAGGGCAGCUUCUGAGUUAAAAAGAAGUAAAAUUUAAAAACAAAAGUAUUAUCAUGCUUCUUGAACAGUGUUUCCUUAGAGAUUUGGCAUCUUUUCAUCUCUAUUAUGAGAAAGGUAACAAGAUACAUUUCAUGAAAGUCUGGUGUAUAACUGCUAAAUGUCUCUGACUUGCAAGAAAUUGGACAGCUUGUUAGAACAGUUCUUGAAUCAACAGCCUUUGGUAAGAACCAACUAAGUGGGAUGUCCCAUAGGAAAAAAAUACUACAUGACUGGGGAGCCUGAGCAUCCUGAGAAUUCUCUAUUAUGCUUUCUGGUCUUUAGGGUGUUUCAAACUUGUUUGCUUAAAGGAAAGGUGCAGAGAGCCAAGAGUGGGGUCUCCAGAAACCAAGUGACAACUAAAUUUGUUAUGGGGAUAAAUAACGUUUAAAUGUAGUCCUGUUGCUAUUUCCUUUGAAAGAGUAUUUUUCCAGAUUUUGUGAAGACCCAUAUUAGAAAAUGUUUUUUUUUCCAGAUUUCCUUUGAAACUCCAAACAACAAAAUAGUGCCCUCAGCAAAACCUGAAGGUAGCAGAAAAUCCAUCUGUUGGGCUGAUGAAGGGCAAAGACAACGAGGAGAUGCAGCAGCAAGAGGACUGCUGCAUGAGGAAAGGCAGUGAAGGUCAUCGGGUGCUGGGAGGUGGAUGAGUGGAGUCCGGCCAGAGGCGUGGCAGCAGAGGACGAGCAUCCCAGUAGUUUUACAGCAGGAGCAGUGACCCUUGCUUUGUUUCUGCAGGAAAUGAGGAUCUUUUUUUAAGCCUGAACCCACGAUUUUAUUCAGGUAAGAAAACUCUGAUCCUAACAUGGUUCCUCAUUUGUAUAGUGCCACAGAAAGUGACACAAUUGCUUGUUAAAAAGGGUUGGUUCUCAGAUACAGGUUUCAGAUUUCUCAGGAGAAACAUUAACAUGGCAGCUUCAUCUCCUCUUUGGAUGCUUAGGUAGUCCAGUGAUUAGCUCAGUCGGAAGCCUAGAGAUGCACUGUAGAGGCUGGGAGGCUUUAGUUUGGCUGGAGAAAUAGUGGUACUGGUGAAUGAAGGCUUUGAUGCAUCUCGAUUCAGAGCUUCAGCCAUUGUACUGACUUUUCUACAUGUCAAAAGGUUGCAGUAUUAUCCGAGAAGAAAGAUCUCUUGUCCUCGGGCACAAAUUGGUAGUAAGAGUCUUCCCAUUGUUAAUGCAGUUCCAGGCAGAAGAAAUUUUUCUUUGUUCCUGGUUGUGGAUGCCCUUGGAAUGAUUCACCAAAUGCUAUGUGAACCUUGGUUUAAAUUAGAAAAGGGUAUCUUUAUCUGGUACUUGAUAGGAAUGACACUUAUGUCGAUGGGUGUCUUUCCAGAGGUGGGUUUUGCUGGAAAGGGAGAGGAAGAAAGCAAGCAGAAAAAAGAGCAUUUCCAGGGGGGAGAAUAUUACAAUUUCUUUUAUUCAAGAUAGAGGUUUUGUAGAUGAAAGCAGAGGGUGCAGUUCAUCUUUGGGUUCAUUUGGAUUCAUUCAUUAAGUACGCAUCCUGAAAAUCCAGUGGUGUUUUGCAUUUGUUGGUUUUUCCUUUUGAAAACUUUGCAUAAAGAUUUUAUUUCUAAAAAGCCGUGAUCGCUGAUGACAAAGCAGCAGCCCGUGGUUACCACGAGGUGUGGGCAACGAAAGUGAACCAGAAGCACGCCCGUGUUCCUGUUCCAGAUCAGGCACUUCUCCCUGGAAUGCCUGCGGCCGCCUGGCAGCCUGGAGCCCUUCCUCGACAGAAGCUCCCGCUCACCUUACAGCACCGCUUCGGCUGCCCUGCCAGAGAGUGGACUGCAGCACACAAGGUGCUGGGAGGAACACAGCCAAGACAGCUGGUCCACGGUAUUCCUUACCCUCUGACAUCGUGUUCCUCAGAAGGAGCCUGUCCAGAUGGGCUGUGCAGCAAGACAAACACCUGGAGAGCACACAACAACCUGCCCUUCCCCUGCAGCAGGACCUCAGUUCUCUUAAACAAGGUGAUGUUUGUCAUCAUUAAAGGGCUCUUGUUCAAGCCUGACUCAAAGGAAAUAACGCUAACUCCUGAAUCUGCAGAGCUACUCUGAAUCCCUGGAGGUCUCUCUGCUAAGGACAGGCACUUGUAUGUGAUGAACGAACGGCAGCUGUAGCUCUGAAUUUCUGUAGAGUCCAUAGGCUGAAACUUCAGAGAGAUUUGUCAGCAGAGAAUUUGUCUCUGCUCUCCCAAUUCUACACCUGAGAGAAACAUUCAGCUAUGUUCCUUUUAAGAUAACAGCCAAAUACUGAGGUAAUGGUGAAAUCUUCAGUUACGUGCUUGCUGUCUGAAUUAUUACUGUUAUGGUUAACGUGUCUCAGGUAAGAAAGCAUGGCAUAUAAAUGAAUGAAUGGUGUUUGUUGGCAUUAAUAUUUUAGCACUGGAAGAUCAUGCUUGCUUUGUUGGUCAAAAAAAAAAGCAAAACAAAAUGGACAUGCUAAUCUGGAUGGAGUAUAGCAGUGCUAUAGGAAUAUAGGUCUAAGUAUGCAGUUCAGGGUAGGGAGAUUCAUGAUGUAGAUACCUAAGAUGGAAAAAAAAAAAUACCCUUUUUACUCCUACUAAAGUCAAUUGACGUAGACUGUGUUUGAAAGGUUAAAAGAGUUGAAGUUGGUGGCAGACUUCACAGGUCUGAGAUCUGAAUCAUCUAGUCAUGGGGUUCUGGACGCUGAAUUGCUCUGAAAAUUGAAAAAGGAGGAAGUCAACUAAUACAAGUUAGUUCAAAACAAAAGAAGCGGGGAGGUGAUGACCUGCAGUCUGGAAAUACAUUUUCUGAUGCUCCAAUGUGAUGAAUUUAGCUGAACAGUUGAAAAUACGCAGCAAGUGCAAUGAGGGAGUUGGACCAGAAGGCCUUUAAGGGUCCCUUCAAACUCAAAUGAUUCUACGAGCUUCACAUUUGCCUAAAGGAGAAGAUGUUUCCUUCUACUUAAUAGAGCAAGAUAGGAGGAGAACAAAGAAUGAAAGGAGUAUUCAACAAAUUCCCAAAGUGUUUGGACAGCGCUCUGCAGCCGGGCCGUGCAGGAUGCAGUUAGGCUGUGUUACCGGCUCUCUCCUUAAGCAAUUAUACUUCAAAUAUAAGCUGUGAGAAAUAAUGCUUCAUGCUUUCCAUUGAUACUGCCAUGAAAAUCUGAAAUUUCAGAGUCUCCUCCCUCCUGUUUCUUCUCUACCUCCAUACGCUGUCCUUCUAACCAGACAGUGUGUGUGGAUGAGGUGAUUUGGCAGCAGGUACUCUCACUGCAGGCGUAAAUCCCAUCCGUAUUCCAUUAUGUUUUGUGUUCCAGCUGAACUCCAUUAACGGUUCGAGAAAAGUAAAUGGAACCAACAGAGUGGGAAAACAUCGGGAUUUGGGUGUGCUGCUCAGAGUCUGACAUAUUUGAAAUCUGGCCUUACAAAUGCUACGUACUGACAUUUUCUAUGAAAGAGGUCCCAGAUUUCCCAUGAAGUUGAAAUUCCCUGCGUUAAAAACACGCACUGGCACAUUGGUAUUUUUUUCAGGACGUAUAAAAUAGUUUCUAAAAGUUGCAGUGCUUCAUUCACUCCCUCAGAUAAUAUAUGCAGAUCCUAUUUUUGAGUAAUUACAUUUCAAAAGAGCACAGCUCUUUCAGCAUAUCAAAUUGCUACUGACAUAUGCCAUCCGUCUUAAAUACUGUUUUCAGCAUUCUAAUUUCUUUUUCUAAUCAUGAGUCCGUGAUGACAAAUUAAAACAAUAUUUUGCGUGCAAUUCAUAUUUUACUGAAAUUUAAAAUGGCAAGAAAAGGCUAAGUAUUCAGUUUAUUUUCUCUUCUCAAUUAAUACAGCAAUUAAGAUAAGGAGUAUAAAACUGGCUUAAUUGGGUUGCUAUGGCAACUAAUUGCCUGAUUUCUUCAAAAAUAGCAUGUUUUAGGUGGAAUCAAUCUGUGGUAAUUUAAUUAUGUACAUCAUGAAGCAAGAAGACAGGUUAGGUACAUGUAAGGAAAAAUCCUGUUUGCAAAUGGUGACACAUCUCUUUGUCACUCAGUUAUUUUCUAACUCUUGUCUGUUUCUGUUCAUUACACAUGGUACAGAAUGACAAUUUUUCCUGUUCAUGAUCAGGAGUAUCAAGAACAGCACAAUGGAUGCUUGAGAGUAUUUCAGCUGGUCCUUGGAAACAAGGAAAAAAGUGAAAAUUAGAUCCUGACUCUCCUCUUCCUGAUUUUCCUUUCAGUGUGCAUCAGGGAAAUUGACACAGUGCAGCUCAGCUACCUAAUUCAUACAUACACAAAUGGCCACAGCAUGAAGCAAAAUCCUGGCUCUAGCCAGUGCAACUUGGGAAUGCUGAUGUCACAAGGAGAGCAAAACACUUUUGGAAAAGAGAAAGGUGGUUUUCACUCAUGGACUAUUGCUGUAAGAAAUGGUGCUCACUGUGAUGAAAGCUGUAUCGGUUAAAACUGUGAACUUUUAACUGAAUCUCUUUAACGUAUGGAACAGGUAACACAUUUUUAGUGACAUUUACCCUCUUCUACGUUUAAUGUAGCGUAAGUACUUUUAUUCCCAAUUUUUGUCCCAGUAGAUCCCUGGUGAUGAGAGUAGCAGGGGGAGAAGCUGGCUUACUGGUGGUGCACCAGAGUCUGGGUCUCAGUGCUGCCUGGCUUUGUGCGGGCUGUGCCCUGCCAGGAUGUCAUGGGAAAACUGAAGUUGCUAUCAGUACUUAGCAGAGUCAGCAAGACUGCAAGGCUGGUUUUCUGUAUAUCAAGCAAACAAAAGUAACCAAAGUUUUUCUUCUAAAGAGCUAGAGCAAGUUAUAUAAUUGGAACGUUAACUGGGGUAUUCUGCCUCUCUGCAGUAAUAGUGUUCAUUAGCUUAAGACUAUUUGGUAUAUAUUACUAUUCCUUCCUCUUAAAGAAAAGGGAGAAACAAUUUAGCUUUUUAAAAUGUUACAUAUUUUCCAGAUAUUUUUAAAUUUUAAACAUGUUGUCCUCUUUUUUUUUUUUUUUCCUAAAUUGUGACUCAAACUCUAAGAAUAUAGGUGAAAAAGGACAAUUCCAGGAGAGUUUUUAGCAUGACAGCCUUUAUGAGAAACACAUAUGGGCAUUAUGCUUUAUGAGAGUCAUCUCUAAUGCUCCAGAAUAUAAUCGGAUUUGUACAACAUAGUUACACAGCAAAUCACCUGGAAGGUCUGAUCCAAGCAGGUAUCUCAAACUCACGUGAUUUAUUGCCUAUGUAUGUGUGGUUUAUCCAUAUACUUCUAAUAAUUGUACUUUAUGCUUAUGAAAUCACAUUGUUUUGAGUGAUCAGAAUGGUGAAUAAAGGAAAUAAAGUGGUCA
Long non-coding RNA from Numida meleagris (helmeted guineafowl), 6425 nucleotides. RefSeq lists it as uncharacterized. The record is from RefSeq and is a predicted model, not a curated record. NCBI's taxonomy places the organism in Eukaryota, Metazoa, Chordata, Aves, Galliformes, Numididae. The transcript has 11 exons.